Molecule: ribosomal RNA, 1000 nt
Filed under: Alexandrium catenella
Lineage: Eukaryota; Dinophyceae; Gonyaulacales; Pyrocystaceae
Description: partial large subunit ribosomal RNA
Rfam family: Eukaryotic large subunit ribosomal RNA
Source: RNAcentral
AAUUGUAUUGUGGAAAUGUAUUACCAACAGAGGUGCAGGUGCCAGCCUAUUGAAAUAAAGCGUCAAUGAGGGUGAGAAUCCUGUUUGUCAUGUGCAGCCCUUUGUGCACGGUGUAUAUUUGCUGAGUCACACUCCUUGGCAUUGGAAUGCAAAGUGGGUGGUAAGUUUCAUGUAAAGGUAAACAUGCAAUUGAGACUGAUAGCACACAAGUACCAUGAGGGAAAUAUGAAAAGGACUUUGAAAAGAGAAUUAAAUGAGUUUGUAUUUGCUGAACACAAAGUAAACAGACUUGAUUUGCUUGGUGGGAGUGUUGCACUUGCUUGACAAGAGCUUUGGGCUGUGGGUGUAAUGAUUCUUUCUUUGCAUGCCAGUUUCUAUUUGUACAUCUGAUUACCUUUGCACAUGAAUGAUAAGUCUCCUGUGGGGGGUGGAUUGCAUGUGCAUGUAAUGAUUUGUGUUUUGAUAAAUGUGUCUGGUGUAUGUGUGUGUUCCUGUGCUUGGGGAUGCUUCCUUCCUUGGACUUACAAGCCCUGACACACACAUGCUGGCAAAAUGCUUCUGCUUGACCCGUCUUGAAACACGGACCAAGGAGUCUAACAGAUGUGCAAAGUUUGAAGGUGGUAUACCUUUGUGUGCAAUGAAAGUGUCAGCUGGGAUAUGUGCACCAGCACCCAAUUAAUUAGCGGACAGAGGUUUGAGUUGGAGCAUAUCUAUUAGGACCCGAAAGAUGGUGAACUAUGCCUGAACAGAAUGAAUUCAGAGGAAACUCUGAUGGAGGUUCGUAUCGAUACUGACGUGCAAAUCGUUCGUCAUAUUUGGGUAUAGGGGCGAAAGACUAAUCGAACCAUCUAGUAGCUGGUUCCCUCCGAAGUUUCCCUCAGGAUAGCUGGAGUUGCUCAGUUUUAUCAGGUAAAGCGAAUGAUUAGAGGAAUUGGGGACAGGUUUGUCUUUGACCUAUUCUCAAACUUUAAAUGGGUAAUAUGUAGUGGUUGCUGUAUGG